This 1399-nucleotide ribosomal RNA is filed under the name uncultured bacterium. Its description in RNAcentral is "bacterial SSU rRNA". It matches the Rfam family "Bacterial small subunit ribosomal RNA". The record is from RNAcentral.
UUAGAGUUUGAUCCUGGCUCAGGAUGAACGCUAGCGACAGGCUUAACACAUGCAAGUCGAGGGGCAGCAGGGGAGUAGCAAUACUCCCGCUGGCGACCGGCGCACGGGUGAGUAACACGUAUGCAACCUGCCCUUGUCAGGGGGAUAAGCGGAAGAAAUUCCGUCUAAUACCGCAUAAUGCUGCGGGGAGACAUCUCCCUGCAGCCAAAGAUUUAUCGGACAAGGAUGGGCACGCGGCGCAUUAGCUGGUUGGCGGGGUAACGGCCCACCAAGGCGACGAUGCGUAGGGGUUCUGAGAGGAAGGUCCCCCACACUGGUACUGAGACACGGACCAGACUCCUACGGGAGGCAGCAGUGAGGAAUAUUGGUCAAUGGCCGGGAGGCUGAACCAGCCAAGUCGCGUGAGGGAAGACGGUCCUAUGGAUUGUAAACCUCUUUUGUCAGGGAGCAAAAACUGCCACGCGUGGCAGGAUGAGAGUACCUGAAGAAAAAGCAUCGGCUAACUCCGUGCCAGCAGCCGCGGUAAUACGGAGGAUGCGAGCGUUAUCCGGAUUUAUUGGGUUUAAAGGGUGCGUAGGCGGUCGGAUAAGUUAGAGGUGAAAUCCCGGGGCUCAACUCCGGAAUUGCCUCUGAUACUGUUCGGCUAGAGAGUAGUUGCGGUAGGCGGAAUGUAUGGUGUAGCGGUGAAAUGCUUAGAGAUCAUACAGAACACCGAUUGCGAAGGCAGCUUACCAAGCUACAUCUGACGUUGAGGCACGAAAGCGUGGGGAGCAAACAGGAUUAGAUACCCUGGUAGUCCACGCGGUAAACGAUGAUAAGUCGUUGUCGGCGAUACAAUGUCGGUGACUAAGCGAAAGCGAUAAGUUAUCCACCUGGGGAGUACGUUCGCAAGAAUGAAACUCAAAGGAAUUGACGGGGGCCCGCACAGGCGGAGGAACAUGUGGUUUAAUUCGAUGAUACGCGAGGAACCUUACCCGGGCUUGAAAGUUACUGACGCUUCUGGAAACAGGAGUUCCCUUCGGGGCAGGAAACUAGGUGCUGCAUGGUUGUCGUCAGCUCGUGCCGCGAGGUGUCGGGUUAAGUCCCAUAACGAGCGCAACCCCUACCGUUAGUUGCCAUCAGGUAAAGCUGGGCACUCUGGCGGGACUGCCGGUGUAAGCCGAGAGGAAGGUGGGGAUGACGUCAAAUCAUCAUGCCCCUUAUGGGCUGGGCUACACACGUGCUACAAUGGCGCCAACAGAGUGAGGCAAACCUGCGAGGGGGAGCAAAGCACAAAAAAGGCGUCCCAGUUCGGAUUACAGCCUGCAACCCGGCUGUAUGAAGCUGGAAUCGCUAGUAAUCGCAGAUCAGAAUGCUGCGGUGAAUACGUUCCCGGGUCUUGCACUCACCGCCCGUCAAG